RNAcentral lists this transfer RNA (70 nucleotides) under Amphioctopus marginatus. Its description in RNAcentral is "tRNA-Glu". The record is from RNAcentral. Lineage: Eukaryota; Metazoa; Mollusca; Cephalopoda; Octopoda; Octopodidae.
GUUUUUGUGGUGUAAAUAGCACGAGAGGUUUUCAAUUUCUAGGUAUAAAUAUUAUUAGUUAUCAGAAAUA